RNAcentral lists this long non-coding RNA (1497 nucleotides) under Nicotiana benthamiana. Its description in RNAcentral is "long non-coding RNA (NBEN_LNC028517)". Lineage: Eukaryota; Viridiplantae; Streptophyta; Magnoliopsida; Solanales; Solanaceae. The record is from RNAcentral.
UUUAACUAAAACAAUAAUAAAGUGCGGAAGUUUGAAACAAGUCUCUACCCAGUAUCUGGUGUCACCACUCACGGACUACUAAGGAGUUCUAAAAAUAUCAGUCUGAAAGGAAAUACAUAUAACUAUUUGUUCCGAACACCAUGGGACAACAGAAUGAAGUAAGGAUAGAGAGGACGCCGGGCCUGCGGACGCCUAUAGGCUACCUCGGUGUCUCCCGGCUCAGAAUGAUAACAAAUGCACCGCUGCUGCUACUGCUGACCGAAUCCUCUAUCCGUGCAAAAAGGAGCAAAGAGUGUAGAAUCAGUACAACCGACCCCAUGUGCUAGUAAGUGCUUGGCCUAACCCCGACGAAGUAGUGACGAGGCUAAACAGGACUACCAUAUAAACCUGUGCAUUUCAACAUAUAUGGGCAAUAGAAGAGGAUAAAUGAAUUUAAACAAUUAAGAGGGUGGGAGCAUGCUAUGGGGGGUGAAGCAGUUCAGAUAUAAAGUCAACAGUUAGAAAAGAAUAAAAUUGUACAACAACAACAAUCCAUAGAAGCAGAAUAACCAACAGUUGCACGGCACCGUCCAUCAUGCUUUCACUAUCGUCCUUACCAAGAUAAUCAAUUAAAGUGUACGGGAUCACCCAUCGUACUUUAUCACUCUUCCUCACCCAACCAAUAGUAUGAAGUAAAUCCAUGGUUACAUGGCAUCACCCAUCGUGCUUUAUCCCUCAUCCUCUCCCAAUCCAUAGUAUGGAGUAAUCAAUGGUUACACGACAUUACCCAUCGUGCUUUAUCGCUCAGCUUCACCCAGUCCAUGGUAUGGAGUAAUCAAUGGUUACACGACACCACCUAUCGUGCUUUAUCGCUCAUCCUCACCCAAACAAUAAUAAAAAUAAUAGGGCGAAGGUAUAAAUGAAACCAUAAUAAUAAUAACCUCAGCAAGGGGAACGCAAACAACCGAUAAGUCCCGGCAAGGGUACAACUAAUAGCUCAGAUAUCCCGGCAAGGGAAUGAUCACAGUACUCUCGCUUGUAAACACUUAGCCGCCAACAAGUUCUGAGUCGAGCCAAUGCUCCACAAAUUUACAAAUCACUAUUUAUCCUCAACCGUUCAUUUCAUGUGAUCUAAAACAAUUCCUACAAGAAACCGUAUCAUACUAUUCGAAAUAAAAACAAUUAAGACCCACGGUCAUGCUAGACUCGGGUGCAUAGAAAACUGUCACCGUACCUAUACACUGACUCCACACUUAGCACGUACAAAGUCAUAUCCUAAUCCUAUUCCCUCAAGCCACAGUUAGAACAAAUACUUACCUCGGUCCGAAAAUAGCAAUCAAGCCUAUAACACCGCUUUUCUUCUAGAAUCCGGCUCCGAAACAAUGAUAUAUAGCCAUAAUUAGUUCAAUAUUAUCAAUAAUAUCUUAAAAAUACAAUUCCAUCGCCUAGAAUUGAAUUUCCUAUCAUUCUUCCAAAAAUACCAAAAUCUGACACCGGGCCCACAUGGUCCAAACUCGA